CGCUAUCACUCCUACGGGGAGGCAGCAGUGGGGAAUUUUGGGACAAUGGGCGAAAGCCUGAUCCAGCCAUGCCGCGUGCAGGAUGAAGCCUUCGGGUGUAACUGCUUUGUACGGAACGAAAGACUCUGGUUAAUACCUGGGGUCCAUGACGGUACCGUAAGAAUAAGCACCGGCUAACUACGUGCCAGCAGCCGCGGUAAUACGUAGGGUGCAAGCGUUAAUCGGAAUUACUGGGCGUAAAGCGUGCGCAGGCGGUUAUAUAAGACAGAUGUGAAAUACCCCGGGCUCAACCUGGGAACUGCAUUUGUGACUGUAUAGCUAGAGUACGGCAGAGGGGGAGUGGAAUUCCGCGUGUAGCAGUGAAAAUGCGUAGAUAUGCGGAGGAACACCGAUGGCGAAGGCAAUCCCCCUGGGCCUGUACUGACGCUCAUACACGAAAGCGUGGGGAGCAAACAGGAUUAGAUACCCUGGUAG
Molecule: ribosomal RNA, 474 nt
Filed under: uncultured bacterium
Lineage: Bacteria
Description: bacterial SSU rRNA
Rfam family: Bacterial small subunit ribosomal RNA
Source: RNAcentral